GUAACGCGUAAGAAUCUAACUUCAGGACGGGGACAACAGUUGGAAACGACUGCUAAUACCCGAUGUGCCGAAAGGUGAAACCUAAUUGGCCUGAAGAAGAGCUUGCGUCUGAUUAGCUAGUUGGUGGGGUAAGAGCCUACCAAGGCGACGAUCAGUAGCUGGUCUGAGAGGAUGAGCAGCCACACUGGGACUGAGACACGGCCCAGACUCCUACGGGAGGCAGCAGUGGGGAAUUUUCCGCAAUGGGCGAAAGCCUGACGGAGCAACGCCGCGUGAGGGAGGAAGGUCUUUGGAUUGUAAACCUCUUUUCUCAAGGAAGAAGUUCUGACGGUACUUGAGGAAUCAGCCUCGGCUAACUCCGUGCCAGCAGCCGCGGUAAUACGGGGGAGGCAAGCGUUAUCCGGAAUUAUUGGGCGUAAAGCGUCCGCAGGUGGUCAGCCAAGUCUGCCGUCAAAUCAGGUUGCUUAACGACCUAAAGGCGGUGGAAACUGGCAGACUAGAGAGCAGUAGGGGUAGCAGGAAUUCCCAGUGUAGCGGUGAAAUGCGUAGAGAUUGGGAAGAACAUCGGUGGCGAAAGCGUGCUACUGGGCUGUAUCUGACACUCAGGGA
RNAcentral lists this ribosomal RNA (609 nucleotides) under uncultured bacterium. RNAcentral describes it as "bacterial SSU rRNA". It matches the Rfam family "Bacterial small subunit ribosomal RNA", at positions 110 to 753 of the family's 1533-position model. The record is from RNAcentral.